This 362-nucleotide ribosomal RNA is filed under the name Bacillus sp. (in: firmicutes). RNAcentral describes it as "bacterial SSU rRNA". It matches the Rfam family "Bacterial small subunit ribosomal RNA", at positions 90 to 446 of the family's 1533-position model. Lineage: Bacteria; Bacillati; Bacillota; Bacilli; Caryophanales; Bacillaceae. The record is from RNAcentral.
AGUUAGCGGCGGACGGGUGAGUAACACGUGGGUAACCUGGCAAAAGAUUGGGAUAACUCCGGGAAACCGGGGCUAAUACCGAAUAAUCUUUUUUACUUCAUGGUUCAAAAUUGAAAGGCGGCUUCGGCUGUCACUUAUGGAUGGACCCGCGUCGCAUUAGCUAGUUGGUGAGGUAACGGCUCACCAAGGCAACGAUGCGUAGCCGACCUGAGAGGGUGAUCGGCCACACUGGGACUGAGACACGGCCCAGACUCCUACGGGAGGCAGCAGUAGGGAAUCUUCCACAAUGGACGAAAGUCUGAUGGAGCAACGCCGCGUGAGUGAAGAAGGUUUUCGGAUCGUAAAACUCUGUUGUUAGGGAA